GGAUUAGAUACCCUGGUAGUCCCAGCUGUAAACGGUGUGCACUUGGUGUGGGUGGAUUUGUCCCCAUCCGUGCCGGAGCUAACGCGUUAAGUGCACCGCCUGGGGAGUACGGCCGCAAGGCUAAAACUCAAAGGAAUUGACGGGGGCCCGCACAAGCGGUGGAGCAUGUGGCUUAAUUCGAUGCAACGCGAAGAACCUUACCUGGGCUUGACAUCCAGCUGCACGCCCUGUGAAAGCAGGGAAGCCUUCGAGGGUGCUGGACAGGUGCUGCAUGGCUGUCGUCAGCUCGUGCCG
RNAcentral lists this ribosomal RNA (294 nucleotides) under uncultured bacterium. RNAcentral describes it as "partial 16S ribosomal RNA". It matches the Rfam family "Bacterial small subunit ribosomal RNA", at positions 775 to 1067 of the family's 1533-position model. The record is from RNAcentral.